This 461-nucleotide long non-coding RNA is filed under the name Brachypodium distachyon (stiff brome). Its description in RNAcentral is "long non-coding RNA (BDIS_LNC005686)". The record is from RNAcentral. Lineage: Eukaryota; Viridiplantae; Streptophyta; Magnoliopsida; Poales; Poaceae.
AAACCUUAGGGUUGACACCCCAUUUGAGCUUUGGAUCUUCAAACCAAUAGGUUUUAUGUAUAAAAGGGGUUUAAUGCAUAUAUAAACUAUCCCAUAAUUUUUGGAUAAUUAUUUGGAGUUGAAAAAGUAUUUUAUUUAAAUAGAUAUAUUGAAAAUGCAUUUUUAUAUAUUUUAUUUUGAAGAGAAACUACAUCCAAAAGUUGUAUCAUGGUAGAACAUGAUUUUACAAAUUUUCUGGAAUUUAUUUGGACCAAUUUGGAGUUCAAACUCAAAAGAUAUCAAAGAAAUGAGAAAAGCAGAAAAAGAAAAGGCUAAAAGGAAAAAAAAAGGGAGAAACGGACCGGCCCGACCACUUUGGGCCGAACCGGCCCAAUCCCUUGCGCGCGCCGCAGCCCAGCCGGCCCAGCCGCUCCCCCGCAUCCGCUGACAGGUGGGGCCCACCUGUCAGGGGCUUCUUCCUC